RNAcentral lists this ribosomal RNA (236 nucleotides) under uncultured bacterium. RNAcentral describes it as "partial 16S ribosomal RNA". It matches the Rfam family "Bacterial small subunit ribosomal RNA", at positions 15 to 244 of the family's 1533-position model. The record is from RNAcentral.
GAUCCUGGCUCAGGAUGAACGCUGGCGGCGUGCCUAACACAUGCAAGUCGAACGGAAUUUACAUGAAGCCUAGCGAUUGUAAAUUUAGUGGCGGACGGGUGAGUAACGCGUGGGUAACCUGCCUUGUACUGGGCGACAACAGUUGGAAACGACUGCUAAUACCGCAUAAGCGCACAGCUUCGCAUGAAGCAGUGUGGAAAACUCCGGUGGUACAAGAUGGACCCGCGUCUGAUUAG